CCUACGGGAGGCAGCAGUAAGGAAUUUUCCACAAUGGGCGCAAGCCUGAUGGAGCAACACCGCGUGAGUGAAGAAGGGUUUCGGCUCGUAAAGCUCUGUUGUUGGAGAAGAACAUGCGUGAGAGUAACUGUUUACGCAGUUACGGUAUCCAACCAGAAAGUCACGGCUAACUACGUGCCAGCAGCCGCGGUAAUACGUAGGUGGCAAGCGUUAUCCGGAUUGAUUGGGCGGAAAGCGAGCGGAGGCGGGUGGUUAUGUCUGAUGUGAAAGCCUUCGGCUUAACCGAAGAAUUGCAUCGGAAACCGGGCGACUUGAGUGCAGAAGAGGACAGUGGAACUCGAGGUGUAGCGGUGGAAUGCGUAGAUAUAUGGAAGAACACCGGUGGCGAAGGCGGCUGUCUGGUCUGCAACUGACGCUGAGGCUCGAAAGUAUGGGUAGCGAACAGGAUUAGAUACCCCUGUAGUC
RNAcentral lists this ribosomal RNA (465 nucleotides) under uncultured bacterium. Its description in RNAcentral is "partial 16S ribosomal RNA". It matches the Rfam family "Bacterial small subunit ribosomal RNA", at positions 338 to 795 of the family's 1533-position model. The record is from RNAcentral.